This 394-nucleotide unclassified non-coding RNA is filed under the name Anaphalis nepalensis. RNAcentral's name for it is "partial external transcribed spacer". The stretch from base 343 to 394 matches the Rfam family "Eukaryotic small subunit ribosomal RNA", at positions 1 to 52 of the family's 1831-position model. The record is from RNAcentral. Lineage: Eukaryota; Viridiplantae; Streptophyta; Magnoliopsida; Asterales; Asteraceae.
UGGCAUACCUCUUCAGUCUUGUGUCAAUGCUUGUAUUGCAUUGAAUGCACGGUGGGUUUCUUGUGUUGCAUGCCUAAUUAAUGGUAUCGCUUGAUGAAUUGGUAUUCUUUUCGUCUUGUGUCGCCUAUGCGAUGUGAGAUGAACCUUGAAGCAACCUUUGUGAUCCACUCUUUUGAUGCAUACGCAUUGAUUUUGUGGCCCAUUGAGUGUUGCUUGGUCUCAUGGAUAUGGAACCUGGUGUGGGCAUGGAAUCUUACCGGUUCCUUGUUUGCCCAAGUUUAGCUUUUCUAAAACGAUCGUCUAUCAUGUGUUAACGUGGUAGACAGCUUCGAAUAUGAAUGCUACCUGGUUGAUCCUGCCAGUAGUCAUAUGCUUGUCUCAAAGAUUAAGCCAU